RNAcentral lists this ribosomal RNA (923 nucleotides) under uncultured bacterium. Its description in RNAcentral is "bacterial SSU rRNA". It matches the Rfam family "Bacterial small subunit ribosomal RNA", at positions 12 to 917 of the family's 1533-position model. The record is from RNAcentral.
UUUGAUCCUGGCUCGGGACGAACGCUGGCGGCGUGCCUAAUACAUGCAAGUAGAACGCUGAAGAGAGGAGCUUGCUCUUCUUGGAUGAGUUGCGAACGGGUGAGUAACGCGUAGGUAACCUGCCUUGUAGCGGGGGAUAACUAUUGGAAACGAUAGCUAAUACCGCAUAACAAUGAAUGACACAUGUCAUUUAUUUGAAAGGGGCAAUUGCUCCACUACAAGAUGGACCUGCGUUGUAUUAGCUAGUAGGUGAGGUAACGGCUCACCUAGGCGACGAUACAUAGCCGACCUGAGAGGGUGAUCGGCCACACUGGGACUGAGACACGGCCCAGACUCCUACGGGAGGCAGCAGUAGGGAAUCUUCGGCAAUGGGGGCAACCCUGACCGAGCAACGCCGCGUGAGUGAAGAAGGUUUUCGGAUCGUAAAGCUCUGUUGUAAGUCAAGAACGAGUGUGAGAGUGGAAAGUUCACACUGUGACGGUAGCUUACCAGAAAGGGACGGCUAACUACGUGCCAGCAGCCGCGGUAAUACGUAGGUCCCGAGCGUUGUCCGGAUUUAUUGGGCGUAAAGCGAGCGCAGGCGGUUUGAUAAGUCUGAAGUUAAAGGCUGUGGCUCAACCAUAGUUCGCUUUGGAAACUGUCAAACUUGAGUGCAGAAGGGGAGAGUGGAAUUCCAUGUGUAGCGGUGAAAUGCGUAGAUAUAUGGAGGAACACCGGUGGCGAAAGCGGCUCUCUGGUCUGUAACUGACGCUGAGGCUCGAAAGCGUGGGGAGCGAACAGGAUUAGAUACCCUGGUAGUCCACGCCGUAAACGAUGAGUGCUAGGUGUUGGAUCCUUUCCGGGAUUCAGUGCCGCAGCUAACGCAUUAAGCACUCCGCCUGGGGAGUACGACCGCAAGGUUGAAACUCAAAGGAAUUGACGGA